CCUACGGGAGGCAGCAGUGAGGAAUAUUGGACAAUGGGCGAGAGCCUGAUCCAGCCAUGCCGCGUGCAGGAAGACUGCCCUAUGGGUUGUAAACUGCUUUUAUACAGGAAGAAUAAGCCUUACGUGUAAGGUGAUGACGGUACUGUAAGAAUAAGGACCGGCUAACUCCGUGCCAGCAGCCGCGGUAAUACGGAGGGUCCGAGCGUUAUCCGGAAUUAUUGGGUUUAAAGGGUCCGUAGGCGGAUGAUUAAGUCAGGGGUGAAAGUUUGCAGCUCAACUGUAAAAUUGCCUUUGAUACUGGUUAUCUUGAGUUGUAUUGAAGUAGGCGGAAUAUGUAGUGUAGCGGUGAAAUGCAUAGAUAUUACAUAGAACACCAAUUGCGAAGGCAGCUUACUAAGUACUAACUGACGCUGAUGGACGAAAGCGUGGGUAGCGAACAGGAUUAGAUACCCUGGUAGUCCACGCCGUAAACGAUGGAUACUAGCUGUUCGGGACCUUGAGUUCUGAGCGGCUAAGCGAAAGUGAUAAGUAUCCCACCUGGGGAGUACGUUCGCAAGAAUGAAACUCAAAGGAAUUGACGGA
This 582-nucleotide ribosomal RNA is filed under the name uncultured bacterium. RNAcentral describes it as "bacterial SSU rRNA". It matches the Rfam family "Bacterial small subunit ribosomal RNA", at positions 338 to 917 of the family's 1533-position model. The record is from RNAcentral.